RNAcentral lists this transfer RNA (77 nucleotides) under Actinomycetota bacterium. RNAcentral's name for it is "tRNA-Lys". It matches the Rfam family "tRNA". From Rfam's summary of the family: Transfer RNA (tRNA) molecules are approximately 80 nucleotides in length. RNAcentral also lists the same sequence under 2 other names. Lineage: Bacteria; Bacillati; Actinomycetota. The record is from RNAcentral.
GGGCCGCUAGCUCAUCGGGUUAGAGCAGGGGACUUUUAAUCCCAAGGUGCCGGGUUCGAGUCCCGGGCGGCCCACCA